GGGCCUUAGCUCAGCUGGGAGAGCGCACUGCUUUGCACGCGAGGAGAGUCAGCGGUUCGAUCCCGCUAGGCUCCA
Molecule: transfer RNA, 75 nt
Filed under: Enterococcus faecalis
Lineage: Bacteria; Bacillati; Bacillota; Bacilli; Lactobacillales; Enterococcaceae
Description: tRNA-Ala
Rfam family: tRNA
About the family: Transfer RNA (tRNA) molecules are approximately 80 nucleotides in length. Their secondary structure includes four short double-helical elements and three loops (D, anti-codon, and T loops).
Source: RNAcentral